CUUCAGCCUCCCGUAAUGCUGAGAUUACAAGUGUGAGCCACCACGCUUGGCCUCUUUCUCUAUUCUAAAACUUUUUGUGGCUCUUGACUGUAAAUGCAGAACCUAAGUUAUACUAUGCCUUUGCAAUGCUGGUUCCUUAGCCUAGAAUUACAACAAACUGUCCUUCAAGAAUUACUUGUCCUUCAAGCACAAUGUAAAACGCCAUCUUUCUUCUGCAUUCCCCUGUUGUCUGAGUAGCACCUACUGUUCAUACCCUCAAGUACUGCUUUUUAACUCAGUGUUUUGUAAUUGAUUACAUAUCUGUCUCAAUGAGUCUUAAGUUCUCUAGACCAACGGAGCCCUGUUUUAUCUAUGCAUCUCCUCCCUGGCAAAUAGAAGAUGUUAAUUAAAUUCAUUUUUGCCAAAUGAAUGAUGUUAACAGUUAAGUUGCAAACAUAGUUAACAUCAUUCAUUUGGCAAAAGUGAAUUUAAUUAACAUCUAUGAGGGGGGGAAAAGGAGACCUAAAUUAGGGGGUGGCUACACAUUCCUUUAAGAGAACUUCAGGACACGGAAGGAGUCAAGGAUAAAAGACAGGAGGUGAGACUUGUGUUUUAAAGUAAUUCAGGGGUGCUAAUUAGGUUAACAGGUUACCAAGGACCAAAUUCAAUUUUGGUGCCAGACAUGGACCACUGACAUCCUGGUAUGACAUAAAAAUGCAAUGACUUGGGCCGGGCACCGUGGCUCACGCCUGCAGUCCCAGCACUUUGGGAGGCCAAGGCGGGCG
This 764-nucleotide long non-coding RNA is filed under the name Homo sapiens (human). RNAcentral's name for it is "HSALNT0140448". The record is from RNAcentral. Lineage: Eukaryota; Metazoa; Chordata; Mammalia; Primates; Hominidae.